GGGUGAUGGCGUGCCUUUUGUAGAAUGAACCGGCGAGUUACGUUUGCAAGCAAGGUUAAGGUGAGAAGCCGUAGCCGCAGCGAAAGCGAGUCUGAAUAGGGCGAAAUAGUUUGUAGGCGUAGACCCGAAACCGUGUGAUCUACCCCUGUCCAGGGUGAAGGUGCGGUAACACGCACUGGAGGCCCGAACCCACGAAUGUUGAAAAAUUCGGGGAUGAGGUGGGGGUAGCGGAGAAAUUCCAAUCGAACUCGGAGAUAGCUGGUUCUCCCCGAAAUAGCUUUAGGGCUAGCCUCGGGAGAUGCGUCGUGGAGGUAAAGCACUGAUUGGGUGCGGGGCCCGCCAAGGGUUACCAAGUCCAGUCAAACUCUGAAUGCCACAGACGUUAUCCCGGGAGUCAGACAGUGAGUGCUAAGAUCCAUUGUCAAGAGGGAAACAGCCCAGAUCAUCAGCUAAGGUCCCCAAGUGUGUGUUAAGUGGGAAAGGAUGUGGAGUUGCACAGACAACCAGGAUGUUGGCUUAGAAGCAGCCACCAUUGAAAGAGUGCGUAAUAGCUCACUGGUCGAGUGACUCUGCGCCGAAAAUGUAACGGGGCUAAACACACCACCGAAGCUAUGA
Molecule: ribosomal RNA, 615 nt
Filed under: Paenibacillus validus
Lineage: Bacteria; Bacillati; Bacillota; Bacilli; Caryophanales; Paenibacillaceae
Description: Bacterial large subunit ribosomal RNA
Rfam family: Bacterial large subunit ribosomal RNA
Source: Rfam by way of RNAcentral